Molecule: long non-coding RNA, 4594 nt
Filed under: Brassica napus (rape)
Lineage: Eukaryota; Viridiplantae; Streptophyta; Magnoliopsida; Brassicales; Brassicaceae
Description: long non-coding RNA (BNAP_LNC011197)
Source: RNAcentral
UCCGGUUCGGGUACAGUCCAAAUUAACAGCAAACCUCGGUUUCUCUCGGUCUCUGUCUCUGCUUCUUCUCCAAUCUCGAUUGAUGUUUGUUUAGGUAUGUCUCAGAUUCUUACCAUUCUUUUACUUCCUCUGUCUCGCGCCUCGUACUACUCUUUAGUCUCUGCUUUCUGCCUUGCCUGUUUUUGUCUCGUUGUCUCUUCGGUAACUAUGCACACCAGCUAUUCGAUUAAACGCCGCUGACAAAACCCACUUCGAUUUCGUAAUCAUCUUCUAAAAGAAUAAUAGAUCUGUAGAGAAAUUCAACUAAACCCAGUUUGUUUUCUAAAAAAAAAAAAGAACUGUUUUAUUUUUUAAUUCAAAGCUUGUGUGAUAAAUAUAUAUAAAGAAAUUGUUUUGAAAAAUACAAGCUGCAAACUUUCUCAUGUUCUUUACAUCAUCAAACCUUCCAUUACCAUCAAAAUUUAGUUGACAUGAAAAUAAUGGUUUAACAUAUGCAUUUGACAAGGAAAAAAAAACAAUUGUGUAUUUACUUCAUGCAAGUAUGUGUGAUGAAAGUAUAAAAAAGGCACACAAGUUACAUCGUCUCUUCUUUGGCUUCUUCUUUGCUUACAUCGUUAAGCCAGUCCACAACUUGUUGGAUAUUUGGUCUUCUCAUAGGGUUCUGGUUCACGCACAUGCAGGCUAUGUCAAGAACACGUAUCAUCUCUCUUUCAUCACCACCCCUCUCUCUCAGCAACGGAUCAAACACCUCCUCUAGUUUUCCAUCCUUCCUCAUUUGAUGCACCCACGCGACUAUCUCUCUCGACACCUUUGGUUUAAAAACCUCCAUCGGCCUUUUCCCGGUGAGAAGCUCGAGCAUGACCACGCCGAAACUGUACACGUCACCUCUCAAGGUAGCUACCCAUGCUUGUCCAUACUCUGGGGGAAUGUAGCCCAAUGUGCCCACAAGCUCCGUUGUGACGUGUGUCCGGUACGGAAGGAUCAGUCUUGAUAACCCGAAAUCUCCGAGGUAGGCCUUGAAACUGCCAUCUAAAAGGAUGUUGCUGGACUUGAUGUCUCGGUGUACUAUAUGUGGUUCGCAUACCUGGUGCAUGUAGGCUAGUCCACAGCUUGCUCCUCUCAUGAUGUGAAGUCUUUUAGACCAAUCCAACUGAGCUGGACCUUCGGGGUUUUCAUGCAGCCAAUAAUCUAGACUCCCGUUCUCCAUGAACGAGUAGAUAAGUAUACGUGCACCUUCAUGGACGCAGUAGCCUUGUAGAUCGACCAGGUUUUCAUGUUUGGCCCUGGAGAGAACUUCCACCUCGGCCUUGAACUCUUUCUCCAUCAGACCGUAGUCUCCUGUGAGUUUCUUAACCGCCACGUUCGUCCCAUUGUCCAAUGUAGCCUUGUAGACAAGACCAAACCCGCCGCAUCCGAUAAUAUUAGCUUGACUGAAGUUGUUGGUAGCUUUCAAGAGCUCGAAUAUGGUCAGGUCUUUUGCUUCGUAUCCACUGUUUCCGAAUAGCAGCACGAGGCUUAUAUCUUUCUCCGAAUCUAAAGGAACUUCAGAGUACGAGGCGUCGGAGCUUAUCUCCAGCCCCGCGUGCUCAGAGUCUCCUGGAUUAACCCUCCUCUUCUUGUCCAUCACCCACAGAGCAAGCAUCACCAAAACCAAACUGACCCCGAAAAAGAUCCCAAUGACAAGUCCCACAACAAGGGGUGUGUUAACUUUUUCUCUCGUCUUUGUAGAAGAAUGCUGAGUACUUGGAGACGUGCAGGAGGUUAGCAGUACACCACCGCACAACAAUGGGUUUCCUUCAAAAUAUGAUUUUGGGAAAGCAUCAAACUGAGCUCCUGUGGGUAUCUGCCCACUGAGAGUGUUGUUGGCAACAUUGAAGUAAGACAUGAAAUGGAGUCCCGUGAGCGACCAAGGGAUCCUACCGGAUAAACUGUUGUUGGAGAGGUCCAGCCGCUCUAAGUUUGUGAGGUUUGACAACUCAUCUGGAAUGCUGCCAGUGAAGUUAUUAGCUUGAAGCUCGAUGACAAUGAGAACCUUUAACCGUCCAAUCUCCACCGGUAUAGUCCCGUUGAGAUUAUUCUUAUUGACGUAUAUCGCGGGUGGGAGGCUGGAGAUCUGAUUGUAUUGCUGAUUAGAGGUGACAUUGUUAGGACUGACGAAAACAGGCAGCUCUAGAUAGCUCCUCUCUGUUGCAUCGUACACCUUUUGGGACAUGAGAGCACUCAGCUGAAACAGUUCCUUUGGAAGCUCUCCCGUAAGAAGGUUACUUGAGAGAUCCAAGUAAAAAAGGUUUGGAAGUGUUCCUAACCAACCGGGAAUAGACCCCACGAGUUGGUUUUGUGAGAGGUCCAUGAGCUCCACGCUCUUGAGCUUGAUCAGCCAAGCGGGUAUUACUCCUCUCAAUCUAGAUCCGCCAGUACCGAAGAUUUGGAGCUUUGGAAAUGCGCCUGGCGCUAGAAAGUCCUCGUUGCUUGGUAGCGUUUCGUCGUAAAAGUUCCUCGCAAUGAUGAGAGUAGAGAGCUUUUUACAGUGUUGAAGAAUGCUGAGGGCGCCUGUGAUGUUGGUCAUUUGAUUUUGUGAAAAUGUGAAGAAAGACAGGGACUCCAGUUCCAGUACUUGUGGAGAUAUCUGUCCUGUUAGCUUGUUCCCUGCGAACCUCAUCGCGGUGAGGUUCUUGCAGGAGUAUACCGUCGAGGGGAAGUCUCCGGUGAAGCUGUUGUUUCCGAGGUCAAGAACGCUGAGGCUCUGGAAACGGGAGAAGUCUACAUUCGAUAAGGUUCCUCCCAGAAGGUUAACUCGUAGAUUCAACUUCACAAGCUUUGUGCAAUUGGAUAAAGAGACGGGGACGGAGCCUGUGAGGUUGUUUAUAUGGAGCUGGAGUCUGCGGAGAUUGAAAAGCUUACCUAUGUUCUUUGGUAUCUCUCCUUGAAGUUGAUUGAAAUAAAGGUCAAGCAGUCUCAGUUUCGUGAGGCUUGUGAUCCCAUCAUCGAUGUUUCCGGAGAGUUGGUUUGCUGGUAGAAGAAGUUCCUCGAGGUUAGAAAGAUUGUAGAUUUCUUUUGGGAUUUCGCCGGAGAGUUUGUUGAAGCCUGCUCGAAGAACGCCUAGCCUGGAGCAUCUGCCUAGUCCUUGAGAGAUAACGCCUGUGAAUUUGUUAUAAGAGACAUCCAGUUUGGUGAGCCGCGGUGAAGAUGUGCAGAUGAUGGAAGGGAGUGGACCGGUGAAGCUGUUGUUGCUGACAUUGAAACUGGUUAACCUGAAAGCACCCUGAAGGAAAACAGAACCGGGUAGGAUGUCGCCUUGGAAAAGAUUGCUGGAGAGAUCAACGGUCUGAAUUGGGAAGUUUUUGUUGCUUCCAUUGGUUAAUGAUUGUUCAAAUGGUGAUUUACCACUGAAACUGUUGUAACUGAGAUCAAGAACCGUGAGCUGGUCAAGAGCAGAGAAGAAGCCUUGUGGGAGAGGACCAGAGAGACGGUUGUAAGAAAUGUUGAGUUGAGAGAGACGAUGGAGAUUCAAAACAGAGGGCGGGAGAGUACCGGAGAGACCUCUAGAGGGCAAGAGAAUCGCAGUGACUCGGUUUUGGGGAGAAUCAUCGCAGGAGAUUCCUUCCCAGGAGCAACAAUCAGUAGACGUGUUCCAAUGCAAAGGAGAAAGUGGAGAUGAUACGUUGGUGGAGAACAAGAGGAGAGAGUCUCGGUCUUGGAGGUUGCAUACAGCUUCUGAAACUGUAAGAAAGAAGACAGAGAGGGAAAGAAGAUAAAUAAAAAUCACAAGGAGACCAGUGGAUUUUGAUCUCAUCUUCUCGUCAAUCAUGGCGAGAACAAGAGAAGAAGAAGCUGAGAAAGAUUGAGUAAGCGUAGAGAAGGAGGAGGAGAAGACAAAAGAGAGGGAAAAGUAGCAAAAGACAUCAUUAUCCAAUCUGGGUUUCUGACUUUCUGUGUCCGAAGCUUGUAAAAUGGUUCGUUGACCAAAGGGAAUAGUCAGACCAAAGAGAAGAAACUUUCUUGUCACACCCAAAGUUAAAUUUUCAAUGCUUUUUGUUAUUUUAUCGUUUUAUCUGUUGACCCGGAUUGUGCUUUGUGGCCCGUGUCUUGUCACUUGUGUGUAUAGAUUUUUGCCCUAAAGUUUUUUAAAAAUUAUUAUUCCUUUUGUAGUAAAAGUCUCUAAAUUUUAUUAUUCCGCAAUCAAGUACAACCUUAUACAUAUGCAACUAUUAUUACAGACAAAAUUGCAAAAGUUGCACAUUCAACCGUUAAACAUAGUUCACAAAGAUACGAAAUUUCUAAUUUGGACAAUAACCUAAGUUAGGUGUUAAUAUUGAAGUCAUCGCUCUGUACAUUCAUAUUUAGUUUAGGAUUCAUCCUUUAUAUAGAUACUUAUGAAAAUUAAUAUAGUUAUUUUGUGUGGUUAUAUUUUUUUUCAUUUAUUCAUGUUAUGAAAACGUUGUUUUUGUCUAUAUGCGUUUUAGUUAUUGGUCUUCUCAGAUUUAUUUUAGGGGAGAGGGUCAUUUCGUGCUUGGAGAUAGAAAGGUCUAUGCGUGCGUGCUAUGAUGUUGAUCAUGAAAAUUGAAAUUUGAAGAAUAUUAUAAUCAUGACGGGC